Maylandia zebra (zebra mbuna) is the source of this 435-nucleotide non-coding RNA. NCBI's taxonomy places the organism in Eukaryota, Metazoa, Chordata, Actinopteri, Cichliformes, Cichlidae. The record is from RefSeq and is a predicted model, not a curated record.
UCCUGCUGAAAGAAGCCACAGCCAUCUGGGAACGAUGUACGUGCUCUGCAACAAUGCUUAGGUAGGUGAUACGUGUCAUAGCAACAUCCACAUCAAUGACCCAAGGCUUCCCAGCAGAACAUUGACCAAAGCAUCACACUGCCUCCCCUGGCUUGCCAUCCUGAUGCCAGGUGUUCCCCAGGUGACCCACAGAUACGGACCAUCGCAGACAGGAAGCCCCCCAAGAGCUGCAGUUGUGGAGUUGUGCUGACCCAGUCGUCUAACCAUCACAGUCUGUCCUUGACGUUUGCCCAGUUUUCCUCCUUCUAACACACUAACAGGAGCCAUGCUGAAGAGAUAAUCAGUGCACAUUAGCUGUUAUUGGUCGUGAUGUUUUGCCCGAUCGGUGUUUUACCAGAACCAGCAUACAAAUUUAAAUAAAAUGUCCUACUUGCA